This 406-nucleotide ribosomal RNA is filed under the name uncultured bacterium. RNAcentral's name for it is "partial 16S ribosomal RNA". It matches the Rfam family "Bacterial small subunit ribosomal RNA", at positions 28 to 526 of the family's 1533-position model. The record is from RNAcentral.
GAUUAACGCUGGCGGCGUGCAUAACACAUGCAAGUCGAACGAAGUGGCGGACGGGUGAGUAACGCGUGAGUAACCUGCCUUAGAGAAGGGGAUAGCCUUUGGAAACGACGAAUAAUACCCUAUGGUCAUAGAUGGGCUCGCGUCUGAUUAGCUAGUUGGUGAGAUAACAGCUCACCAAGGCGACGUUCAGUAGCCGGGCUGAUAGGAUGAACGACCACAUUGAAACUGGGAAACGGUGCAAAGUCUACGGGAGGCAGCAGUGGGGAAUAUGGCACGAUGGGGGAAACACUGAUGCAGCGACGAUGAGGGACGAAGGAGGUAGUCGUAUCGGAAAGUUCUGUCCUAUGGGAAGCAGUACCAUAGAAGAAAGCUACGGCUAAAUACGUGCCAGCAGCCGCGGUAAUUC